AGCAGCCGCGGUAAUUCCAGCUCCAAUAGCGUAUAUUAAAGUUGUUGCAGUUAAAAAGCUCGUAGUUGAAUUUCGGGGUCAGUAGGUUGGUCAUGCCACUGGUAUGUACUGGCCUCACUGAUUCCUCCUUCCUGAUGAACUGUAAUGCCAUUAAUUUGGUGUUGCAGGGAAUCUGGACUGUUACUUUGAAAAAAUUAGAGUGUUUAAAGCAGGCUAACGCCUGAAUACAUUAGCAUGGAAUAAUGAAAUAGGACGUUCGAUCCUAUUUUGUUGGUUUCUAGGAUUGACGUAAUGAUUAAUAGGGAUAGUUGGGGGCAUUAGUAUUCAAUUGUCAGAGGUGAAAUUCUUGGAUUUAUUGAAGACUAACUACUGCGAAAGCAUUUGCCAAGGAUGUUUUCAUUAAUCAAGAACGAAAGUUAGGGGAUCGAAGACGAUCAGAUACCGUCGUAG
RNAcentral lists this ribosomal RNA (450 nucleotides) under uncultured Glomeromycotina. RNAcentral's name for it is "SSU rRNA". It matches the Rfam family "Eukaryotic small subunit ribosomal RNA", at positions 569 to 1023 of the family's 1831-position model. Lineage: Eukaryota; Fungi; Glomeromycota. The record is from RNAcentral.